This 429-nucleotide ribosomal RNA is filed under the name Bacteroidota bacterium. RNAcentral describes it as "Bacteroidetes bacterium partial 16S ribosomal RNA". It matches the Rfam family "Bacterial small subunit ribosomal RNA", at positions 355 to 776 of the family's 1533-position model. Lineage: Bacteria; Pseudomonadati; Bacteroidota. The record is from RNAcentral.
UAGGGAAUCUUCCGCAAUGGGCGAAAGCCUGACGGAGCAACGCCGCGUGAGUGAUGAAGGUCUUCGGAUCGUAAAACUCUGUUAUUAGGGAAGAACAAAUGUGUAAGUAACUAUGCACGUCUUGACGGUACCUAAUCAGAAAGCCACGGCUAACUACGUGCCAGCAGCCGCGGUAAUACGUAGGUGGCAAGCGUUAUCCGGAAUUAUUGGGCGUAAAGCGCGCGUAGGCGGUUUUUUAAGUCUGAUGUGAAAGCCCACGGCUCAACCGUGGAGGGUCAUUGGAAACUGGAAAACUUGAGUGCAGAAGAGGAAAGUGGAAUUCCAUGUGUAGCGGUGAAAUGCGCAGAGAUAUGGAGGAACACCAGUGGCGAAGGCGACUCUCUGGUCUGUAACUGACGCUGAGGCUCGAAAGCGUGGGGAGCGAACAGG